AAUCUUGCUAAGAUUAGUUUUAGAAAAAAAUUAGAAUUAUUAACUUUGAAUCAUUAGUCAAUUUUUAGUGAAUUUUUAAGUAGAAAGGAUCUACCGCCAAAGCAGCCCAAGUGGCUCUACUUAGAAAAAACCAUAUCUCAAGCAUUUCGGAUCGGAUUGCCACAAUAUUGAAAAAAUAGGAGCAUGUUGUAGUUUAUCUUAAUCACAUUAAAUUUCACAUACAUUAGAAUUUCAAGGAAUUUUUGGUGAAUUUUUGAGUGGCAAAGGUGGUU
This 272-nucleotide long non-coding RNA is filed under the name Physcomitrium patens. RNAcentral describes it as "long non-coding RNA (PPAT_LNC008081)". Lineage: Eukaryota; Viridiplantae; Streptophyta; Bryopsida; Funariales; Funariaceae. The record is from RNAcentral.